UUUGUUGUGCCGGAAUAAACGGAUUAUAUUGAUGUUGUAAAUUAUGAGAAUUUCUCCAACAUAA
This 64-nucleotide transfer RNA is filed under the name Nemertopsis tetraclitophila. RNAcentral describes it as "tRNA-Ile". Lineage: Eukaryota; Metazoa; Nemertea; Enopla; Monostilifera; Emplectonematidae. The record is from RNAcentral.